Molecule: ribosomal RNA, 478 nt
Filed under: uncultured bacterium
Lineage: Bacteria
Description: bacterial SSU rRNA
Rfam family: Bacterial small subunit ribosomal RNA
Source: RNAcentral
UGGGGAAUAUUGGACAAUGGGGGCAACCCUGAUCCAGCCAUGCCGCGUGAGUGAUGAAGGCCUUAGGGUCGUAAAGCUCUUUCGCCUGUGAAGAUAAUGACGGUAGCAGGUAAAGAAACCCCGGCUAACUCCGUGCCAGCAGCCGCGGUAAUACGGAGGGGGUUAGCGUUGUUCGGAAUUACUGGGCGUAAAGCGCACGUAGGCGGACCAGAAAGUUGGGGGUGAAAUCCCGGGGGCUCAACCCCGGAACUGCCUCCAAAACUAUUGGUCUAGAGUUCGAGAGAGGUGAGUGGAAUUCCAAGUGUAGAGGUGAAAUUCGUAGAUAUUUGGAGGAACACCAGUGGCGAAGGCGGCUCACUGGCUCGAUACUGACGCUGAGGUGCGAAAGUGUGGGGAGCAAACAGGAUUAGAUACCCUGGGUAGUCCACACCGUAAAACGAUGAAUGCCAGUCGUCGGGUAGCAUGCUAUUCGGUGACA